This 180-nucleotide non-coding RNA is filed under the name Mahella australiensis. RNAcentral also lists the same sequence under 1 other name. The record is from RNAcentral. Lineage: Bacteria; Bacillati; Bacillota; Clostridia; Mahellales; Mahellaceae.
AAAUAACUAGCAUAAGCAGGUGCUCCGAAAGGAGAUAAUAGGGAACCGUGUGUAAUUCUCGGGCGGUCCCGCCGCUGUAUGCGGGGAAUGUUUCUCACAAUGCCACUGGCUAUAGUGCUGGGAAGGCGAGAAAUGCGAUGAUCCGCGAGCCAGAAGACCUGCCUGUUUAUGAUAAAGCAC